This 1341-nucleotide ribosomal RNA is filed under the name uncultured bacterium. RNAcentral describes it as "16S ribosomal RNA". It matches the Rfam family "Bacterial small subunit ribosomal RNA", at positions 28 to 1381 of the family's 1533-position model. The record is from RNAcentral.
GACGAACGCUGGCGGCGUGCUUAACACAUGCAAGUCGAACGGUAAGGCUCCAGCUUGCUGGGGUACACGAGUGGCGAACGGGUGAGUAACACGUGGGUGACCUGCCCUGCACUUCGGGAUAAGCCUGGGAAACUGGGUCUAAUACCGGAUAGGACCGCACCGUGAGGGUGUGGUGGAAAGUUUUUUCGGUGUGGGAUGGGCCCGCGGCCUAUCAGCUUGUUGGUGGGGUAAUGGCCUACCAAGGCGGCGACGGGUAGCCGGCCUGAGAGGGUGGACGGCCACAUUGGGACUGAGACACGGCCCAGACUCCUACGGGAGGCAGCAGUGGGGAAUAUUGCACAAUGGGCGGAAGCCUGAUGCAGCGACGCCGCGUGGGGGAUGACGGCCUUCGGGUUGUAAACUCCUUUCACCAUCGACGAAGGGUUUCUGACGGUAGAUGGAGAAGAAGCACCGGCUAACUACGUGCCAGCAGCCGCGGUAAUACGUAGGGUGCGAGCGUUGUCCGGGAUUACUGGGCGUAAAGGGCUCGUAGGUGGUUUGUCGCGUCGUCUGUGAAAUUCCGGGGCUUAACUCCGGGCGUGCAGGCGAUACGGGCAUAACUUGAGUACUGUAGGGGAGACUGGAAUUCCUGGUGUAGCGGUGAAAUGCGCAGAUAUCAGGAGGAACACCGGUGGCGAAGGCGGGUCUCUGGGCAGUAACUGACGCUGAGGAGCGAAAGCAUGGGGAGCGAACAGGAUUAGAUACCCUGGUAGUCCAUGCCGUAAACGGUGGGCGCUAGGUGUGGGUUUCCUUCCACGGGAUCCGUGCCGUAGCUAACGCAUUAAGCGCCCCGCCUGGGGAGUACGGCCGCAAGGCUAAAACUCAAAGGAAUUGACGGGGGCCCGCACAAGCGGCGGAGCAUGUGGAUUAAUUCGAUGCAACGCGAAGAACCUUACCUGGGCUUGACAUAUACAGGAUCGCGCCAGAGAUGGUGUUUCCCUUGUGGCUUGUAUACAGGUGGUGCAUGGUUGUCGUCAGCUCGUGUCGUGAGAUGUUGGGUUAAGUCCCGCAACGAGCGCAACCCUUGUCUUAUGUUGCCAGCACGUUGUGGUGGGGACUCGUAAGAAACUGCCGGGGUUAACUCGGAGGAAGGUGGGGAUGACGUCAAAUCAUCAUGCCCCUUAUGUCCAGGGCUUCACACAUGCUACAAUGGUCGGUACAGUGGGUUGCCAGUCCGUGAGGGCGAGCUAAUCCCGCAAAGCCGGUCUCAGUUCGGAUCGGGGUCUGCAACUCGACCCCGUGAAGUCGGAGUCGCUAGUAAUCGCAGAUCAGCAACGCUGCGGUGAAUACGUUCCCGGGCCU